UAAUAAUAUGCAACUUUAAGUUUUUGUGUACUAUUAUUCUUAAGAAAAGCACAAAUUUGAACAGAACUAAAUAUAAAAAAUCACGAUAAAGAGUGUAAGUACUUUCGUAUUAGAUCACAACCUCGAAAUAUAAAAUAUAUGAAAAAAAUCCGAAAAAAGAUUGACUCUUCGAACUCGAAAAAAGCUACGUUUCGUAUUGAUUUCUGCGAAUUCGAGAAGUUGAAAAUAAUUAAUAGAGAUUGUUUUUUAAAGUUCUGCUCAUGAUUAUGCUCAAGAAAUUCAAUGUUUUUGGACAGAAAAUGAUAGAAAUGAUCCAAGCAAAGAGUUUCAAGAACUUUGGAUUAAACCAGUACACGAAUCAGCACAAUCACAGAUAAUUGCUCAGGUGUUCCACUUAUUGUCACUUCAUCUGCCAUGACCUGUGUUUUAAGUUGCAAAGUUCUUAAUUCCAAAUGAUUCUUUGUCAUUUCCUGAGCAGCUUUUUUGACCUUCUUCAAAAGAUUGUUAUCAAUCGACGAUUGAGAAUUUUCAAUUGCAGACACACUGUUAUUUAAAGCAUCAUAAUUAUUCUUAAGCAUGUCAUAAUCAUCAACAAGCUUGUUAACUUUUUCAGACACUGAACAAAGCAUAUCAUUCAUUUGACCAAUUCCUUCAACUUUUGAACUAAUGUUAAGCAACAAAUCUUGAAUAUUUGAAGGAUAACAUACAGGACAAGUAGUGAAAACUUUUUCGGCAGCUUGCGAUUUCGACAGUAAACAAUAUUGUAUCUUUACACAUUGCUCAUAAAAAUGAUGCUUACAUGGCGCUCUAGUCUGUACCUGGCAUGGAUUAUAGAGACAAGGAGCCUGAACUUAUGCUUUAUGAGUAGCAUGGAAGACAAGACGCCGGCGAGCAGUUCUAUUAUAGAUGUCAUCCUUGUAGCGUAGGCUGCAAUGAUUGUGAAGAGGGAGAAAAAUAAUUUUGAACACUUUCGUUGCACAGAGUGUCGGUUAGUUUAGGCAAAACUGCCUCUUGGACAGAAUUUGUACACUUUUGAACAAUUAAUUGAGGAUGUAGAUAAUAUUCCGAAACCAUCGAAAACUUGGUUUAUCUUCAAAUUCGAAAAACUCGUGCUGUUCAUGGAAAUAUUACCCAAUAUAUUUUGUGAACGGAAAAAAAUUAUAAUCACUGACUCAAUGAAAGUGAAAUAUUACUAUAAAAUUAAACCAAUUACUUGGCUUGAGAGUGGAGAAAUAAGCAGUAUCAAAGAUGUUAAGCGAGUAAUCGACCUAUACGAUUUUCUUGUAUUUCCUGAAAAUUUAAUAGACUAAUAGACUAAUAGUGACCUUGCUAAACAUCCAUAAUUUAUCGAUAUUAAAUUGGAAUUGUACAUUUAAAAUAUUUUUAGCAGAUUGUUCUAGGAACAAAAAUUCACUUGUAAAAAAAAAAUUGUACAAAUAUUUUUAACCGUAAUGCAAAAUGGAAGACAUGAUAAAAAUAACAAUAAUCAGACUAAUAAUAAUAGUUUAAGCAGGAAACUAAUGUUAUAG
Microplitis demolitor is the source of this 1529-nucleotide long non-coding RNA. RefSeq lists it as uncharacterized. The transcript has 3 exons. The record is from RefSeq and is a predicted model, not a curated record. NCBI's taxonomy places the organism in Eukaryota, Metazoa, Arthropoda, Insecta, Hymenoptera, Braconidae.